GAUAGCUACAGUCAAAGAGCGUGUAUUGCUAUAAAUGCCGUAUAUAAAUACACAAAUCACACAAGGUUAGGCUCUUACUUGUCAAACGUCAUGUUUGAACCAACAAAGUAAUUAAAUACUCGAUCUCUCGAUUCCUGCAUGUUUAUUACUGCUCCACUUGGUGUUGUCAGAAUUGACGUAACUCCAAACUGAACUAGAGUAGGGUCAGUGCAUAACAUCCAUCACCACUGCGAGGCAGUUCGUAAAUUUACUUCAACCAGAAAUUCCGCCUUUCAGUUUCACCGGUUCUGCCUCCUUCACGAGAGAAUUCGCAGAAUACAUUCACCAAGCGACGAAGAAGGCCAAUGACGAUAAUUCUUGGAUCAUAAUUCCAUUUGAGUCGGAAAAGAUUCGUGACGGAGAACGGGACACCGCAAUUGCGGGGCUGACGGCGAUGUUCGAGGAACGAGGAGGGAAUUUCCUGUUGUUCCUGCUUCAUUCCUGCGAACGAAGGGGAUUUAAUUAGUCGAAAAGCUAGCUACCAGUGUCACGUGCAUUCGAACGUACGUUGAUACCGUGUCGCUAGGACGACACUAAAAGCGAGAAACGAACGAAAUGAGGAAUAAAGAUGUGACGAUAGAAAUACUGCGUUUGAGAAAAGAGAGAGAGAGAAAGGUAAAGGAUGGGAUAGGAGAAACAAAGGUACGCGAAAAAAAUUGCAGAUUUAGA
RNAcentral lists this unclassified non-coding RNA (708 nucleotides) under Bombus terrestris (buff-tailed bumblebee). Its description in RNAcentral is "misc RNA ENSBTSG00005037804.1". The record is from RNAcentral. Lineage: Eukaryota; Metazoa; Arthropoda; Insecta; Hymenoptera; Apidae.